RNAcentral lists this long non-coding RNA (235 nucleotides) under Ananas comosus (pineapple). RNAcentral's name for it is "long non-coding RNA (ACOM_LNC043324)". The record is from RNAcentral. Lineage: Eukaryota; Viridiplantae; Streptophyta; Magnoliopsida; Poales; Bromeliaceae.
ACAAUAAGCAUUAAUUCUGCCUCAAAAACAGCAACAGAGAGGAGCGAAAUUCCGACCUAGCAAACCUUUACCAAAUCCAGCAAGUAAGGGCUUCGUGGAUUCCUCUCGAAGUCCUGAAUCCAACGAACCAAGUCCCGUCGAAAACCGACGCUCCUACGCCGAGUACGAACUGAAAUACCGACGGUCGACGCUGAAAAUUCUGCAAAUCAGCACCAAGCUCGAAAUGACAAUACUU